This is a long non-coding RNA of Brienomyrus brachyistius, 613 nucleotides long. RefSeq lists it as uncharacterized. Lineage: Eukaryota; Metazoa; Chordata; Actinopteri; Osteoglossiformes; Mormyridae. The transcript is spliced from 5 exons. The record is from RefSeq and is a predicted model, not a curated record.
UCGGACGGGAAGGCGUAGCUAUUAACAUACUUGUCACAAGCACUACAAACCACUAUUACCUCUCUCAGAGUAACGUCACUGCCGCAUCCUUUCAACUGGAGACGCCUCGACGACGCGGCCGCUAACAUGAGGUAGCUGGAUGAACUGGACUUCGCAGAAACAGAAUUCAUGUGGAAAUAACAGCAUCCUAAUUUCCCGCCAUCAAAAGAGGAAGUGAUGCAGCCUGACUGAUCCGGUGUACAUCAUGGUCCUAAAGCUGCAAAGUAAACAUUCCAUGGAGCCUGAGGUCAUCGCUACAGUACACUCCACUCCCCAGAUGCCAGAGAAGGAGAGGGGUCCUGACGGCCAGGCGCGGCGGCGCUCCGCAUUCAUGGAGCAGCGCAGGAGGUGCGAGCAUGCGCCCGGCGUCUGAGAGUCUACAAAACUGCAUCACGCAGCCUAAAGACACCAGUUGGCUGUCAUCUCCACUCCAUGUCCACACAGAUUGAAAAACCCCAUAGCAACACAGCUGAAAGGUCCAGAGAUCAGUGUGCCAGUAAGCAGGUGGAGACGCUCUGAACAUUAGGGAGAUUUGAUCAGCUCACACUGACCCAGAGAACCAAAACGAAGUCAU